CCUACGGGGGGCAGCAGUGGGAAAUAUUGGACAAUGGGGGGAACCCUGAUCCAGCCAUGCCGCGUGUGUGAAGAAGGCCCUCGGGUUGUAAAGCACUUUCAGUGAGGAAGAACGCCUGGUGGUUAAUACCCAUCAGGAAAGACAUCACUCACAGAAGAAGCACCGGCUAACUCCGUGCCAGCAGCCGCGGUAAUACGGAGGGUGCGAGCGUUAAUCGGAAUUACUGGGCGUAAAGCGCGCGUAGGUGGCUUGAUAAGCCGGUUGUGAAAGCCCCGGGCUCAACCUGGGAACGGCAUCCGGAACUGUCAAGCUAGAGUGCAGGAGAGGAAGGUAGAAUUCCCGGUGUAGCGGUGAAAUGCGUAGAGAUCGGGAGGAAUACCAGUGGCGAAGGCGGCCUUCUGGACUGACACUGACACUGAGGUGCGAAAGCGUGGGUAGCAAACAGGAUUAGAUACCCUUGUAGUC
Molecule: ribosomal RNA, 465 nt
Filed under: Vreelandella stevensii
Lineage: Bacteria; Pseudomonadati; Pseudomonadota; Gammaproteobacteria; Oceanospirillales; Halomonadaceae
Description: partial 16S ribosomal RNA
Rfam family: Bacterial small subunit ribosomal RNA
Source: RNAcentral